This 3131-nucleotide long non-coding RNA is filed under the name Nicotiana benthamiana. Its description in RNAcentral is "long non-coding RNA (NBEN_LNC007153)". The record is from RNAcentral. Lineage: Eukaryota; Viridiplantae; Streptophyta; Magnoliopsida; Solanales; Solanaceae.
GUGAACAAAGUUAAACUGUAAAUUCAUGAAAUUAAGAAUAAAGCGGUAGAUUGCCUCGGAUAAAAUAAAGAGUUUCAAUUGUUCUAAUACUUUUUCCUUUCAAUGGCCAUUAUUUCUUUCAUAGAAAACUUAAAUAAGCUGAAACAUGAGGCAUAGAACAUGUAAAUCACUACUGACUUCCACACACAAUUAAGGAUCCAACUUUGAGCCAAACUUACUUAAGAACAAAUACCAUCUACCAAGCAAUGUUUCAUAUUUUAUGUAUUUGCAGCCCAAAAAGAAAUGAAACAAUAUAUUCAAGGCCUUGGAAAGACGAACACCUCAUAUUCUGUGUAUUUGCAGCCCAAAAAGAAACGAAACAAUACAUUCAAGGCCUUGGAAAGAUGAACUACUGUAACGGCUCAUAUUGAAGAACAUGAUAACCUUUCUAAAAUUAACAAAGUGAGGCCUCACAAACACAAAGCAAUCGUAAGUCCGAACAUCAGAACCCUUUGAUCGUGAAUACAACUACAAUGAUUUAUUAAACAUGCUUACAUCGCCCAAAACCAUGUGAGAAACAAAUUGCUUCUAAGUUUAUUAACUCCUAAUAAAUUAAAGAGAAAUCAAAUAGCUUCAUGUCCAUUCACUUUUAAUCCAAAAUUAUAUAAGCAUGUCAGGAAUACCUGGAUAAGAGAAAAGGCGAAGAUUAGUGAUAAAUGAAACAAAUUCCAGCAACAGUGACAGCAGAAAUAGCAACAAGCCAGUCGCGAAUCCGUGUUAAAAUAGCCCAGGAAUCUCACUAAAACCAACAAUUCCUCGAGGGAAUGAACCAAGAAUCAAACUCUAAGACUCUUAUACAUUUUUGAAAGAUUUUGCACUCUAAGACUCAACAAAACUCACAACUUACUCCUAUGUAUUCAACUGGUGAUUUUUCUCUCAAGUUUUUGUACUUUCUUGAGUGUAAAGAAAAAAAAAUCACCAGCAGGAAUAGCAACAAAACAGCAACAAAGACAAUAUUUCAGUGUUAAAAUAACCCCGAAUACCAACAAAGAUGCUUGAAACUAGUAGCUAAGCAGCUUCACAAAAUACCUAAGGAAUCGUUCUAUUUUUCUCAAAGGUUCACUUUAAGAAACUCCCCUAGUUCUGAAAUUUCAGCUUGAUAUAUAUACUAAGUUGCUGAUUUUUCUUUGAAGACAUGUCUUUUUAGAGUGUAAAAGAUGAUUUAUUUGAAGUUAUGUAUCCUGUCCUCUGUUCAGUAUGAAAGAAUGACCCCUUUAAGUAGGGAAAUAAGUCCUUUUGGACAAAUUUUGGUCCACCAAAAAUCUGUCCAAAGGACUAACUUUUGGUGCCAAAACAGUCCACUUUUCACCAAAUUCUGUCACUAAACAAAGUAGAUGUAUUUCCAGCAUGUUUAAACAGUAAAAUAUCCAAAACUUAACACUCAAGUAUUCAGCUUUUUUCUAUUCAUGACUGAAAUUCAGAUUAUACACUCAAACUCCAAAGCUUUUUUCUAUUCAUGACUGAAAUUCAGCUUAUACACUCAAACUCCAACCCAAUAUGAACUAGAAAAAUAGAAACAAGACUCAAAAUGCAAUUGAACUUAGUAUUCAGACAAACUAGAUUAGAAUGAAUCUGAUUUGUACAAACUAACAUGGAACAACAACUGAAUUUUACAAACUAUUGCUUGAAACAAAAAUUAAGCGAACAUCGUUAAACUAUCACGAUUAAUAACAACUAAAUAUACGACUAACUAUAUAAAUAAUUGAACUAAUCUUUUGUUUUUUUUUAAAUUCGACUAGGUCUAAAAACUGAAAAUUCAAGCUUAACAACUCUAUACAAAACAGUCGACUGACUAGGUCGAAGAAUCAAAGAUCAGAACUAACGAAUAAACAAACAAAAGGUCGACCGGCUAGGUCGAAGAACUGAAUGUUCAAACUAAAUCAAAUCCAUACAAAAGAGUCGACCGGCUAAGUCGAAGAACAGAAAAUCAAAACCAACAGGCAAUAACGAACUACUCGACCGGCUAGGAAAAUAGAAAUUAAGCGAACAUCGUUAAACUAUUACGAUUAAUAACAACUAAAUAUACGACUAACUAUAUAAACAAUUGAACUAAUCUUUUGGUUUCUUUUUUUUUUUUUUUGAAAUUAACAUAAAGACUUAGCUAUUCGACCGACUAGGUCUAAAAACUGAAAAUUCAAGCUUAACAACUCUAUACAAAACAGUCGAUCGACUACGUCGAAAAAUAAAAAAUUAGAAUUAACGAAUAAAUAAACAAAAGGUCGACCGGUUAGGUCGAAGAACAGAAAAUCAAAACCAACAGGCAAUAACGAACUACUCGACCGGCUAGGUCGAAGAACUGAAAUUCACAUUUAUAAAGUUGAAAUGUAAUUAAAAUUAUAACCAUUGCACAUAAAUAACAGAACAUUCACGGAAACUAAACCUUAGAACUAAUAUUAAAACAAAAGCAAAAUAAAAUAAAAUCGGAAAAGAUAAAAAUAGGGAAAGGAAAUUGGUGUUUACCAAACAAAGGGAUUCAACGCCAAAUCGAGCGACGAGACGGAUGUCGAGGGCGACGAAUGGUGGUUGUCCGACCCCGAGGGGUAUGUUUCUUUUCAGCAAAUGCCAAGCCAAUAGAUUCCGGCAUUUUGCCAAUAGGAAACAAAUACCUUUGGGUCGAAAGAAGUAAGAAAAAAUGAGAGAGAAGGAACAGAAGCGGCGGCGGGGCAGUGGGGGUGCGCCGGCGAUAGUGUCACGGCGAUGGGGGUGAGGUGUUUCGGGGUCAAGACCAACAUAGGAUGAUAGAUCGCGUGGAUCCCUAAACGUGUAUGUAAUUAUUUCAUGAAGAAGGGGUCUAAAAUCCGAUGAUUUACAGAAUAAAGUAAGCUAAGGUUUCGAAUUUUGGUUUAUUUGUGGAAUUUGGGAAGGGUUAUGGGAUUUUGGGGUUCGGAUUCAUGAAGGGGAGGUUAAACAGAAGAAGUGGAGAAAUUUUGGGGUGAUUUGGGGUUUGCUCUCCGCCGGUGACGAAUUCCGGCAGGCGGAGCAGAGGCGGAGACGGGCGGAGGAGUGAGAGAGAAGAGAGAGUGAAAGAGAAGCCUCUAAGGUUUGGAAAUAGGGCAAAAUUCAGAUUUUUUUUUUGUUUUUAUAUUUUAGUU